RNAcentral lists this ribosomal RNA (429 nucleotides) under Acidobacteriota bacterium. RNAcentral's name for it is "Acidobacteria bacterium partial 16S ribosomal RNA". It matches the Rfam family "Bacterial small subunit ribosomal RNA", at positions 355 to 776 of the family's 1533-position model. Lineage: Bacteria; Pseudomonadati; Acidobacteriota. The record is from RNAcentral.
UGGGGAAUUUUGGACAAUGGGGGAAACCCUGAUCCAGCCAUCCCGCGUGUGCGAUGAAGGCCUUCGGGUUGUAAAGCACUUUUGGCAGGAAAGAAACGUCGUGGGUUAAUACCCCGUGAAACUGUCGGUACCUGCAGAAUAAGCACCGGCUAACUACGUGCCAGCAGCCGCGGUAAUACGUGGGGUGCAAGCGUUAAUCGGAAUUACUGGGCGUAAAGCGUGCGCAGGCGGUUCGGAAAGAAAGAUGUGAAAUCCCAGAGCUCAACUUUGGAACUGCAUUUUUCACUACCGGGCGAGAGUGGGUCAGGGGGAGGUGGAAUUCCGCGUGGAGCAGUGAAAUGCGUAGAUAUGCGGGGGAACACCGAGGGCGAAGGCAGCCUCCUGGGAUAACACUGACGCUCAUGCACGAAAGCGUGGGGAGCAAACAGG